RNAcentral lists this ribosomal RNA (874 nucleotides) under uncultured bacterium. Its description in RNAcentral is "bacterial SSU rRNA". It matches the Rfam family "Bacterial small subunit ribosomal RNA", at positions 8 to 852 of the family's 1533-position model. The record is from RNAcentral.
AGAGUUUGAUCCUGGCUCAGGACGAACGCUGGCGGCGUGCNUUAUACAUGCAAGUCGAACGCUUUUUCUUUCACCGGAGCUUGCUCCACCGAAAGAAAAAGAGUGGCGAACGGGUGAGUAACACGUGGGUAACCUGCCCAUCAGAAGGGGAUAACACUUGGAAACAGGUGCUAAUACCGUAUAACACUAUUUUCCGCAUGGAAGAAAGUUGAAAGGCGCUUUUGCGUCACUGAUGGAUGGACCCGCGGUGCAUUAGCUAGUUGGUGAGGUAACGGCUCACCAAGGCAACGAUGCAUAGCCGACCUGAGAGGGUGAUCGGCCACACUGGGACUGAGACACGGCCCAGACUCCUACGGGAGGCAGCAGUAGGGAAUCUUCGGCAAUGGACGAAAGUCUGACCGAGCAACGCCGCGUGAGUGAAGAAGGUUUUCGGAUCGUAAAACUCUGUUGUUAGAGAAGAACAAGGAUGAGAGUAAAAUGUUCAUCCCUUGACGGUAUCUAACCAGAAAGCCACGGCUAACUACGUGCCAGCAGCCGCGGUAAUACGUAGGUGGCAAGCGUUGUCCGGAUUUAUUGGGCGUAAAGCGAGCGCAGGCGGUUUCUUAAGUCUGAUGUGAAAGCCCCCGGCUCAACCGGGGAGGGUCAUUGGAAACUGGGAGACUUGAGUGCAGAAGAGGAGAGUGGAAUUCCAUGUGUAGCGGUGAAAUGCGUAGAUAUAUGGAGGAACACCAGUGGCGAAGGCGGCUCUCUGGUCUGUAACUGACGCUGAGGCUCGAAAGCGUGGGGAGCGAACAGGAUUAGAUACCCUGGUAGUCCCACGCCGUAAACGAUGAGUGCUAAGUGUUGGAGGGUUUCCGCCCUUCAGUGCUGCAGC